UUCAAACUUCACAUGCCAAAUUAUUGCUUCGCUUUAAUUGAAGUCUAACACUUCCAAUUUAUCGAUCACAAAACACAUAGUAGCACUUUUGGCUGCCAUGAAAAUUCCUCCAAAAAAGCCCCAUUUUUUCAAACCCAUUCAGCCAGGUUUCAAGAAUGGUCUUAAAAUUCCUGUAGGUUUCUUGAAGUAUGUGAAGGGACAAGAUCAAAUUGAACAUGUAGUACUGAGAAGUGGAGGCAAAAAUUGGCUGGUGAAGGUUAAAUGUUGGCGAUUCGAAGCGGGUUGGGCUGCAUUUGUAGAACAACAUGAUUUACAAUUGGGAGAUAUGUUGGUGUUUAGAUAUGAAGGAAAUAUGGAAUUUGAAGUUUCCAUAUUUGAUUCAACUCAUUGUGAUAGAGAAUAUGUUGAGUAUCUGCACGAAGAUCAAGGAGGAUCUUGGAGAGAUGAAGAGAUUUCCAAGAAAUUUAAAUUUAAAGGAAGACCAAGGCUCAGAAUCAAGAUGUCAAAAAAGGCUUCUUCCCAUGUAGAAGCUGCUGCUCAUCACAAGUCUUUUGGUCAUUCUCAUUUUGAAUGCACUAUUAGAGAAUAUAACAUUUCACAUCAUUAUUUGGGCCUUCCUCAACAAUUCGCAUAUGCAAAUGGUCUCACCAAUAAGAAGUGUAGUUUGAUUAUAAGAGAUGAACAACAAAGGUUAUGGAAUUUAAAGCUGAGUUCUUGCAAAAGUCGAACCUAUAUUACUGGUGGAUGGCACAAAUUCAGUGCUGAUAAUUGCUUAAAGAAGGGAGAUCGCAUAAUGUUUGAGGUUGUUACCAAUGGAGAGACACCUAUAUGGAAAUUUCAAGUUACUAAUCGAGAAACUCCAUUGCAGAAGUUUCAAGACAUUAUGCAAAAACCCUCAAACAUGAGUGUUCUGAAUGCACAAGUAGCCACUUCAACUUCUGGUGAUGAUGAUUAUCCUUGUUUUGUUUCAACCGUUAAACCUUACUGCCUCAGAUGUGCAGCUUUGUAUCUUCCAACGGAUUUUGUAAAGUCAAGCGGGUUGAUGAAUAGAAACUGUGAGAUGAUUCUGAAAGGUGAAGCACAGAGAUGCUGGUCAGUUUGGUUUGGGAAAUCUGGACAUCAUUUUGGAAUUAUACAUGGAUGGGAAAAAUUCAGAGCAGAAAAUGGACUCCAAGUAGGAGACGUUUACAAGUUUGAACUCAUCAAGAAUGGGAAAGUACCUAUAGCACAAUUCCAUUGCAAAUAUUCUGGAAAGGUUGCAAAGAGAGAGGAACGUCGAAGCAAGUUGAAUACAUAAAAAGAAAAAUCGGUUGAUCGUAUGGUGUAUAACUUCAAAAACUAUAUACAGUGUUUCUACAAAAUCUCCAUGUAAGGUAAUUCAUCCACCCCUUGAAUAGAUCAAAGAUCACCCAUGUCUACACAGAAAAGAACUACUUGGAAGACAAACUCGCAAAGGUAUGGAAUGAAGCUAAAUAGUGAUAGCCACCAGCUGAUGUAACGAUCACCAACCAGAGUAUAAGGACAUGUUUCCAUUCGACGAGUUUAUCUGAGCAAUUUUUUGUGAUCAAUGUGGCACCAACAAUGGGAAUACCUACAGUAGAAUUAAUGCCAUAGAAAUAGUGUUUUUGUAAUCAUCCUUUCUGUUGGGCUUUUUGUAAAAAAAUGAUGCGGCAGCAAAAGGGGUUAAAACAACUCUCUUUGGAUUGAAAUGACUUUCAAGCUUUCAAAAAGUUCUAGUA
RNA transcript from Capsicum annuum, 1739 nucleotides. It is a transcript of the gene named B3 domain-containing protein REM7, with no coding region annotated. Lineage: Eukaryota; Viridiplantae; Streptophyta; Magnoliopsida; Solanales; Solanaceae. The record is from RefSeq and is a predicted model, not a curated record. The transcript has 8 exons.